This 135-nucleotide microRNA precursor is filed under the name Hordeum vulgare. RNAcentral describes it as "microRNA MIR1122". It matches the Rfam family "MIR1120/MIR1122 microRNA precursor family". The record is from RNAcentral. Lineage: Eukaryota; Viridiplantae; Streptophyta; Magnoliopsida; Poales; Poaceae.
CAAGUACUUCUUUCGUCUUAAAAUUCUUGUCUUAACUUUGUCUAUAAAUGGAUGUAUCAAAAUAAUAGAUGUUACUAGAUAUAUUCAUCUCUAGACAAAUUUAAGACAAAUUUUUUGAUACGAAGGGAGUAGUAG